Molecule: unclassified non-coding RNA, 2100 nt
Filed under: Apis florea (little honeybee)
Lineage: Eukaryota; Metazoa; Arthropoda; Insecta; Hymenoptera; Apidae
Description: potassium voltage-gated channel protein Shaker, transcript variant X2
Rfam family: Potassium channel RNA editing signal (bases 1725-1838)
Source: RNAcentral
GAGCGGAUUCGACGACGUGGGACGGGGCUCUGACAUUGACAGCGGAAGCGGCGGGGAAGGGGGGCGAGCGGUGAGGCUUGGAAGAUUCGAGGAUCGGAUCGGUGGUGGGUCGAGUGCGGAUCGGGCAGAGGGGACAACAAGGUGGUCAGGUGGGAGGAUAGAGAGUGGUGGUGGGUAAAAGUGGUGCAGCAGAGGAGGGGAGUGGCCGAGGAGGCAAGGCCUGAGGAUCGUGCGGAGCCCGGGAAGGGCUCCUUAGGAGGGAGCGAGACUGGCGAGCGCAAUGUGGCAAAGCGGCGGCAUGGGCGCCCAUGCGGCCAACAAUCCAUGGAUGAAAUUAAUGGGCAUUGUCCACAAGGAGAGAAGGCAUCACGAUUCGGGCUCUGCCGCUGCCGCCGCUUCCGGUGUUCAGGGCUCUGCGACCACUGGCAGCAACGACCGGACCCUCAAUCAAUCGCUGCCGAAACUCAGCAGCCAGGACGAGGAUGGGCCGAACCCACAUACCCAAUACACAGGCGUCACGCAGUUCGAGCCCAUACCGCACGAUCAUGAUUUUUGCGAAAGGGUCGUCAUUAACGUGAGCGGGCUACGGUUUGAGACGCAGCUGCGUACGCUGAAUCAAUUUCCGGACACGCUCCUUGGCGAUCCGCAUAGGCGUAUCCGAUACUUCGAUCCGCUUCGCAACGAGUACUUCUUCGAUCGGAAUCGGCCCUCCUUCGACGCGAUACUUUACUAUUACCAGAGCGGUGGCAGGCUCCGUCGCCCGGUCAACGUUCCUCUCGAUGUCUUCUCCGAGGAGAUCAAGUUCUACGAGCUGGGCGAGCUGGCCACCAACAAAUUCAGGGAGGACGAGGGGUUCAUCAAGGAGGAGGAGAAGCCGCUGCCGUCGCACGAGUUGCAGAGGAAGGUCUGGCUGCUGUUCGAGUACCCGGAGAGCUCGCAAGGCGCCCGGGUAGUGGCCAUAAUAUCCGUGAUCGUGAUCCUCCUCUCGAUCGUGAUAUUCUGCCUGGAGACCCUGCCCGAGUUCAAACACUACAAGGUCUUCAACACGACCACGAACGGCACGAAGAUCGAGGAGGACGAAGUGCCGGAUAUCACGGACCCGUUCUUCCUAAUAGAGACUAUUUGUAUCAUCUGGUUCACGUUCGAGUUAUCGGUGCGCUUCCUCGCCUGUCCAAAUAAACUGAACUUCUUCCGUGACGUAAUGAACUUCAUCGACAUCAUCGCGAUCAUUCCUUACUUCAUCACCCUCGGCACAGUGAUGGCCGAGGAGGAGGAGACGCUUGACCUACCAAAGGCGCCGGUAAGCCCGCAGGACAAGAGCACGAACCAGGCGAUGUCCCUGGCGAUACUCAGGGUCAUCAGGCUCGUCAGGGUGUUCCGGAUAUUCAAGCUGUCCAGGCAUAGUAAAGGCCUUCAGAUCCUCGGCCGUACCCUCAAGGCCUCCAUGAGGGAGCUCGGCUUACUCAUCUUUUUCCUAUUCAUCGGUGUGGUGCUGUUCUCGUCGGCGGUAUACUUCGCGGAGGCGGGCACGCAAGACAGCUUCUUCAAAUCGAUACCGGACGCGUUCUGGUGGGCGGUGGUCACGAUGACGACCGUGGGCUACGGGGACAUGAGGUGUGGUGCUAUUCUCAUCGGCGGUAUACUUCGCGGAGGCCGGCUCCGAGAAUUCGUUCUUCAAGUCCAUUCCGGACGCGUUCUGGUGGGCCGUUGUCACGAUGACGACCGUGGGCUAUGGUGACAUGACGCCCGUGGGAGUCUGGGGGAAGAUCGUGGGCUCUUUGUGCGCGAUCGCCGGUGUGUUGACGAUCGCCCUGCCUGUGCCCGUCAUUGUCUCCAACUUCAACUACUUCUAUCAUCGUGAGACUGACCAGGAAGAGAUGCAGUCGCAGAACUUCAAUCACGUGACCAGCUGCCCGUAUCUUCCUGGUCAACACUUGAAGAAGAGCUCGAUGUCAGAAUCGUCGUCGGAGAUAAUGGAGCUGGAAGAGGGCAUAUUGCUCACUCAUCCCGAGAUUACGAAGAAGCCCAACUGCAACCCUCGCCAUAAUAACAAUAUUAAUCCAGCCUGUAUGAGCAUCGAGACUGACGUCUGACUACUAG